This 507-nucleotide ribosomal RNA is filed under the name uncultured Glomeromycotina. RNAcentral's name for it is "partial small subunit ribosomal RNA". It matches the Rfam family "Eukaryotic small subunit ribosomal RNA", at positions 591 to 1092 of the family's 1831-position model. The record is from RNAcentral. Lineage: Eukaryota; Fungi; Glomeromycota.
CCAAUAGCGUAUAUUAAAGUUGUUGCAGUUAAAAAGCUCGUAGUUGAAUUUCGGGAUUGACGUGACGGUCAUGCCUUAAGGGGUAUGAACUGUUACAGUUGAUUUCUCACCUUCUGGAGAAACUUGAUGUCCUUUAUUGGGUGUCUUGCGGAACCAGGACCUUUACCUUGAAAAAAUUAGAGUGUUUAAAGCAGGCAUUUUUGCUCGAAUACAUUAGCAUGGAAUAAUAGAAUAGGACGGCAUGGUUCUAUUUUGUUGGUUUCUAGGAUCACCGUAAUGAUUAAUAGGGAUAGUUGGGGGCAUUAGUAUUCAAUUGUCAGAGGUGAAAUUCUUGGAUUUAUUGAAGACUAACUACUGCGAAAGCAUUUGCCAAGGAUGUUUUCAUUAAUCAAGAACGAAAGUUAGGGGAUCGAAGACGAUCAGAUACCGUCGUAGUCUUAACCAUAAACUAUGCCGACUAGGAAUCAGACGAUGUUAAUUUUUUAAUGACUCGUUUGGCACCUUACG